CAAGUCGAACGAGUUCUCGUUGAUGAUCGGUGCUUGCACCGAGAUUCACCAUGGAACGAGUGGCGGACGGGUGAGUAACACGUGGGUAACCUGCCCUUAAGUGGGGGAUAACAUUUGGAAACAGAUGCUAAUACCGCAUAGAUCCAAGAACCGCAUGGUUCUUGGCUGAAAGAUGGCGUAAGCUAUCGCUUUUGGAUGGACCCGCGGCGUAUUAGCUAGUUGGUGAGGUAAUGGCUCACCAAGGCGAUGAUACGUAGCCGAACUGAGAGGUUGAUCGGCCACAUUGGGACUGAGACACGGCCCAAACUCCUACGGGAGGCAGCAGUAGGGAAUCUUCCACAAUGGACGCAAGUCUGAUGGAGCAACGCCGCGUGAGUGAAGAAGGCUUUCGGGUCGUAAAACUCUGUUGUUGGAGAAGAAUGGUCGGCAGAGUAACUGUUGUCGGCGUGACGGUAUCCAACCAGAAAGCCACGGCUAACUACGUGCCAGCAGCCGCGGUAAUACGUAGGUGGCAAGCGUUAUCCGGAUUUAUUGGGCGUAAAGCGAGCGCAGGCGGUUUUUUAAGUCUGAUGUGAAAGCCCUCGGCUUAACCGAGGAAGCGCAUCGGAAACUGGGAAACUUGAGUGCAGAAGAGGACAGUGGAACUCCAUGUGUAGCGGUGAAAUGCGUAGAUAUAUGGAAGAACACCAGUGGCGAAGGCCGCUGUCUGGUCUGUAACUGACGCUGAGGCUCGAAAGCAUGGGUAGCGAACAGGAUUAGAUACCCUGGUAGUCCAUGCCGUAAACGAUGAAUGCUAGGUGUUGGAGGGUUUCCGCCCUUCAGUGCCGCAGCUAACGCAUUAAGCA
RNAcentral lists this ribosomal RNA (845 nucleotides) under uncultured bacterium. RNAcentral's name for it is "bacterial SSU rRNA". It matches the Rfam family "Bacterial small subunit ribosomal RNA", at positions 58 to 866 of the family's 1533-position model. The record is from RNAcentral.